RNAcentral lists this long non-coding RNA (437 nucleotides) under Vigna radiata. RNAcentral's name for it is "long non-coding RNA (VRAD_LNC013850)". Lineage: Eukaryota; Viridiplantae; Streptophyta; Magnoliopsida; Fabales; Fabaceae. The record is from RNAcentral.
AUCGGAGCGGUCGCCGACUAUGACUUUAACGGCGACCAGCGACGCCGGCGACAUCCUGGCUCCCGGCUUGUCAAUGGAGAGGGUUCAAGAACUUACCACACACCAAGAAGAAGGCGCCAAGCGGUGGUGACAAUAUAGAAAGGUGGUGGAGGAAGCUUGCCGGUGGUGACAAUGUAGAGAGGUCGAGACGAUAGCGGUCAAUGACGCACCGACGACGGAGAUGGAAGCAAAGCAGUUGGCGGUGGUGACCACACAAAGAGGACGAGAUGAGGAUGACAAAUGGCAGUCAUCGACGAUGGUAGCAAACGUGAUGAACAGGGAAGAAGUUCGCGCAUGGGUUUUCUUUCGUGCAGAGAAGAAGAUGAAUUGGGAAGAGUGGUUUUGUUGCGCGAUGUCUGAAAUUUAAAUAGGCUAUUGCCUCGGUUCUCCACUUAACC